UACGUAGGGGGCAAGCGUUGUUCGGAUUUACUGGGCGUAAAGGGCGCGUCGGCGGGGAGGCAAGUUAGAUGUGAAAUCCCGGGGCUCAACUCCGGACCCGCAUCUAAUACUGCUUUUCUAGAGGAUGGAUGGAGAAAAGGGAAUUCCACGUGUAGCGGUGAAAUGCGUAGAUAUGUGGAAGAACACCAGUGGCGAAGGCGCUUUUCUAAUUCAUUCCUGACGCUGAAGCGCGAAAGCAAGGGGAGCAAACAGG
Molecule: ribosomal RNA, 253 nt
Filed under: uncultured bacterium
Lineage: Bacteria
Description: partial 16S ribosomal RNA
Rfam family: Bacterial small subunit ribosomal RNA
Source: RNAcentral